AUGCUAGCAGCUACUAACUUUUAUUCUCUGCAGAGACGCUUUGCUAGUGAUCAGACCAGGAAGGCGUACACAGCAUUGAACGAGCAGUUCGAUGCGUACACCGGGGUCAUCUGGCAGCCCUACACGGAAGCAGCCAUACAAGCGAGAUACCCUGCUGGUAUGUCUGUGCUAUGCACAAGGGACCGAGAUUACUGGAUGGCAAAAUCGAAGAUCAUCUUCGAUGUCUUCGUCGAGGAGAUGGCACAACAGAGGGUUAUGAGGCAAUUUGGUCUUCUGCAGUUGGAGCUACCUCCCCCUAUAGAGAACCCGGUGCCAGCACACAUCCAUAGGUAUUAA
This 336-nucleotide ribosomal RNA is filed under the name Triticum aestivum (bread wheat). RNAcentral's name for it is "partial small subunit ribosomal RNA". The record is from RNAcentral. Lineage: Eukaryota; Viridiplantae; Streptophyta; Magnoliopsida; Poales; Poaceae.